UACGUAGGGUGCGAGCGUUAAUCGGAAUUACUGGGCGUAAAGCGUGCGCAGGCGGCUUUGCAAGACAGAUGUGAAAUCCCCGGGCUCAACCUGGGAACUGCAUUUGUGACUGCAAGGCUAGAGUACGGCAGAGGGGGAUGGAAUUCCGCGUGUAGCAGUGAAAUGCGUAGAUAUGCGGAGGAACACCAAUGGCGAAGGCAAUCCCCUGGGCCUGUACUGACCCUCAUGCACGAAAGCGUGGGGAGCAAACAGG
Molecule: ribosomal RNA, 253 nt
Filed under: uncultured bacterium
Lineage: Bacteria
Description: partial 16S ribosomal RNA
Rfam family: Bacterial small subunit ribosomal RNA
Source: RNAcentral